GGUUGCGAUCAUACCAGCACUAAUGCACCGGAUCCUAUCAGAACUCCGCAGUUAAGCGUGCUUGGGCGAGAGUAGUACUAGGAUGGGUGACCCCCUGGGAAGUCCUCGUGUUGCAACCC
RNAcentral lists this ribosomal RNA (119 nucleotides) under Helianthus annuus (common sunflower). The record is from RNAcentral. Lineage: Eukaryota; Viridiplantae; Streptophyta; Magnoliopsida; Asterales; Asteraceae.